This 222-nucleotide small RNA is filed under the name Arabidopsis thaliana (thale cress). Its description in RNAcentral is "ATSL281040". The record is from RNAcentral. Lineage: Eukaryota; Viridiplantae; Streptophyta; Magnoliopsida; Brassicales; Brassicaceae.
AUUUUAUAUGAAAGACAUCUGUGAAAAAUUGUUGAACGUCGAUGGUCUAAGAGCAUCUCCAUCAGUAGUAUCUUGGAGAGUAUCUGGUGAUUGAAAAAAUAUAAAAUAAUGAAAAAGUAGGAGAAAGAGUUAGAGACGUUUCUGGUUUGAGAAAUUUAGAGAGACUGUCUUUCCACGUGUCUCUAUAUUAUUGGUCGAAUUCUCUUUUUAUAGUUUAAAAUU